This 493-nucleotide ribosomal RNA is filed under the name uncultured bacterium. RNAcentral describes it as "bacterial SSU rRNA". It matches the Rfam family "Bacterial small subunit ribosomal RNA", at positions 903 to 1397 of the family's 1533-position model. The record is from RNAcentral.
AAAUGAAUAGACGGGGACCCGCACAAGCGGUGGAGCAUGUGGUUUAAUUCGACGCAACGCGAAGAACCUUACCAAGGCUUGACAUCCCUUGACGAUCUAAGAGAUUAGAUUUUCUUUUCGGAGACAAGGAGACAGGUGGUGCACGGUUGUCGUCAGCUCGUGUCGUGAGAUGUUGGGUUAAGUCCCGCAACGAGCGCAACCCCUACAGUUAGUUGCCAUCAUUAAGUUGGGCACUCUAGCAGGACUGCCGCGGACAACGCGGAGGAAGGUGGGGAUGACGUCAAAUCAUCAUGCCCCUUAUGUCUUGGGCUACACACGUGCUACAAUGGACAGUACAGAGGGUUGCGAAGCCGCGAGGUGAAGCCAAUCCCAAAAAGCUGUUCUCAGUUCGGAUUGCAGGCUGCAACUCGCCUGCAUGAAGUCGGAAUCGCUAGUAAUCGCAGGUCAGCAUACUGCGGUGAAUACGUUCCCGGGUCUUGUACACACCGCCCGU